UUGGAAGGGCAAGUCUGGUGCCAGCAGCCGCGGUAAUUCCAGCUCCAGUAGCGUAUAUUAAAGUUGUUGCAGUUAAAAAGCUCGUAGUUGAAUCUCGGGGUCAAUGUUUCGGUCAUGCCGUUGGUAUGUACUGAUAUUAUUGGUUUCUCACCUUCUAAAGAACCGUAAUGCCAUUAAUUUGGUGUCACGGGGAAUUAGGACUGUUACCUUGAAAAAAUUAGAGUGUUUAAAGCAGGCUCACGCUUGAAUACAUUAGCAUGGAAUAAUGAAAUAGGACAUCCGAUUCUAUUUUGUUGGUUUCUAGGAUCGAUGUAAUGAUUAAUAGGGAUAGUUGGGGGCAUUAGUAUUCAAUUGUCAGAGGUGAAAUUCUUGGAUUUAUUGAAGACUAACUACUGCGAAAGCAUUUGCCAAGGAUGUUUUCAUUAAUCAAGAACGAAAGUUAGGGGAUCGAAGACGAUCAGAUACCGUCGUAGUCUUAACCAUAAACUAUGCCGACUAGGGAUCGGAUGAUGUUAAUUUUUUAAUGACUCAUUCGGCGCCUUACGGGAAACCAAAGUGUUUGGGUUC
Molecule: ribosomal RNA, 567 nt
Filed under: uncultured Glomeromycotina
Lineage: Eukaryota; Fungi; Glomeromycota
Description: SSU rRNA
Rfam family: Eukaryotic small subunit ribosomal RNA
Source: RNAcentral